Molecule: non-coding RNA, 121 nt
Organism: Alternaria ethzedia
Lineage: Eukaryota; Fungi; Ascomycota; Dothideomycetes; Pleosporales; Pleosporaceae
Source: the annotation of a RefSeq genome assembly
GCCUUCCUAGCUCAGUGGUAGAGCGCGUCACUAGUAACGCUAGACUCGGUUCGAGUCGAGCUAGUCCCGAAAGGGACGUCACGUGAUGACGAGGUCGUCAGUUCAAUUCUGGCGGAAGGCA